This 207-nucleotide ribosomal RNA is filed under the name uncultured bacterium. Its description in RNAcentral is "partial 16S ribosomal RNA". It matches the Rfam family "Bacterial small subunit ribosomal RNA", at positions 568 to 774 of the family's 1533-position model. The record is from RNAcentral.
CGCGUAGGCGGUUUGUUUAGUUAGGCGUGAAAUUCCUGGGCUUAACCUGGGGACUGCGCUUAAUACAGGCAGACUUGAGUUCGGAAGAGGGUCGUGGAAUUCCCAGUGUAGAGGUGAAAUUCGUAGAUAUUGGGAAGAACACCGGUGGCGAAGGCGGCGACCUGGGCCGAAACUGACACUGAGGGACGAAAGCUAGGGUAGCGAAAG